Molecule: ribosomal RNA, 253 nt
Filed under: uncultured bacterium
Lineage: Bacteria
Description: partial 16S ribosomal RNA
Rfam family: Bacterial small subunit ribosomal RNA
Source: RNAcentral
UACGUAGGGUGCAAGCGUUGUCCGGAAUUAUUGGGCGUAAAGAGCUCGUAGGCGGUCUGUCGCGUCUGCUGUGAAAACUCGGGGCUUAACCCCGGGCCUGCAGUGGGUACGGGCAGACUAGAGUGCGGUAGGGGAGACUGGAAUUCCUGGUGUAGCGGUGAAAUGCGCAGAUAUCAGGAGGGACACCGGUGGCGAAGGCGGGUCUCUGGGCCGUAACUGACGCUGAGGAGCGAAAGCAUGGGGAGCGAACAGG